Phytophthora infestans T30-4 is the source of this 76-nucleotide non-coding RNA. Lineage: Eukaryota; Oomycota; Peronosporomycetes; Peronosporales; Peronosporaceae. The record is from the annotation of a RefSeq genome assembly.
UCCUCGGUAGUAUAGUGAUUAGUAUACCCGGCCUGUCACGGCGGGGUGACCCGGGGUCCAAUUCCCGGACGAGAAG